UUUGGAAAAGUAUAAACCUAAGGCAUCACCUUUACAGAAAAUAUCUUCCACGGAAACAUCUAAAGGCCACAGAUCAGCCCUGGGGUUCAGAGGGAUCCUGACAGCUACUCCUCAAGAUCCUCUCUGUUGUGAUUCAUCCCCCCGGGGCCCUACAGUUUCUCCUUCCUGACUCUUACAUUUCUUUGGAUGGCAUCAUUAUUUACCUGUCUCCUCCCAUAGUUAGGUGCCAAGCACUGUGGAUUCUGCCUCUCAGUGUCCAGACACCCAUUUUCCUUCCCACUGUUCCUUCCCCAUGGAGAAGCCUGUGGCUGGCUGACAGCAGAGAGAGAUGCUCAACUUGGAGAAGGUGUUACCUGGGCCAGGUGGGGAAGGUUUGUUUGCAGAGCAAAGAAGUGAAGGAAGUAUUAACCCUUUGCAUGGCCUCCUGAGAAUCCGACAAGACGUAAAUAGCCAAGAAUAUCUGUGAAACUUCAUCACUGAGUUACAAUAUUUAUCACUGCAAGUGUGUUGUUCAUUGACACUAUAAAGCCAUGUGGAAUUAAGCAGCCUUGAAACACAAAAUGGAGAAAGGCUAAGAGCUGAGAAUUGUUGCCUUCAGGGAAAUACAAUCAAUGUCAAGCAAACAACCACCCCAAAAUGGUUAGCUUUAUCAGCAUUCAGGCCUACAGUGAACGCAAAUGUUCCAGAUCUGAGUUUCAAUUUUUAAAGAAUAAACAUAUGCAAAUGACCAUUAGUCUUAGUAGUUUUAGGGCUCAGAAUGAUCUUAUCUUGUUAACAUUCAGGGCAACUGCUUAUACCCAUUUGAAUGUCAUUUAGAGGGCUAGGAAAGACUGCUUCAACAUUUGAUGACUAAAUGGCAGGGCUCAGCCACAAUGCUCACUCCGAGAAAUGAGAAAUAGACACACCAGUAUGCUAGAUGCUGAUGCAGUUCAGGAAAUGCUACCCCAAAAUAUGGCCCCUCAGCAUACUGAGUAUUUUAAGCAGAAGGCAAUUAAGAAAACCACAAAAACAGAAAGGUCCCUCUGACCUUCUCCCACCCUCUCUCUCUUGAAGAUCCUCAUGUGACAGGUGACCUGCCAUAUAAUCAGAAGGAAGAAAUGUUACACAGAGAGGCUGAGAAGAAUCUGAGGACUUGCUAAGUUUUCCCCAGUUUAUUACCAUUAGAUCAUAUGCCUUUUUUGUUCAAUCAUACUUCUAUACAACUGUCCAUCAUUCAUUAAACCUAACCACAAAAGUAGUUUUCACUCGGUUUUUGAGUGAAGGCUCCUGUGUCACAUAAAACUUACAUUAAAUAAAUUUGUUCCACUUUUC
Molecule: long non-coding RNA, 1311 nt
Organism: Homo sapiens (human)
Lineage: Eukaryota; Metazoa; Chordata; Mammalia; Primates; Hominidae
Gene: MYO3B-AS1
Product: MYO3B antisense RNA 1
Exons: 4
Source: RefSeq, marked validated